CUAUUACUAAAGGAGAGCUUGACUCUUAUCCAGGGUUUGUUUAUCUUACACUUGCCACAGAGAAAAAACGAUCACCUCUGAAAACACAGCUUUGAGACCCCAAAUAUAUAAAACUUAUGACAGUGCUAUAUCUCUUUCUAUUUCAUAUUUGUAUUCUUUUUAAAGAAGGUUUUAAGCUCAUAAUUUUCUAAGCACGAGUAUCCUGGUGUAACCUAUUAAGGCAAGGUAAUUAAAUUAAUAAAGCUAUGCUAUAAUAGGUAAAACUUUGGGAUGUUCAGAUGGGAAAUAGAAUGCAUUGAUCAUUGAUGCUUCAACCAUACUGUUAUUAUCUUCUGUUUCUAGAUACUCUUCUAAUGACAUUUAUCAAACAUGAAACCUAUCCUUUCUCUGAGUAUUACCUAAUCCCUCAGGAAAUGAGUGGUACUUUGUUUUGGCUUUUUAUUAUUUUAGAUUUGGUGUUUUCCCUGGUUUUCAUUUUCUGAAUGUGAACAGAGAUUGACUCCAAAAGGAUUUUUUACUAGUUCAAUUUUUAGUUUAUAAUAUGAGGGCCAUGAACUAACUAACAAAUGUCUAUGGGAGUUACCAUUGUGGCUCAGAGAAAAUAAACCUGACUAGUACCCAUGAGGACAUGGGUUCAAUCCCUGGCCUUGCUUAGUGGCCAUCAGCUGUGGUGUAGGUCAUAGACGUGGCUCAGAUCCCGUGUUGCUGUGACGGUGGGUAGGCUGGAAGCUACAGCUCCAAUUCAACCCCUAGCCUAGGAAUUUCCAUAUGUUGUGGGUGUGGCCCACAAAAAAAAAAAAAAAAUUCCCUUCAUUAGAGAGUUAUCAAGAGCCCUUUGCCCCAAUGGGCACUUUUUUUUUUUUUUUUAAGCAUUAUUUCACUAAAUUUUUACCAAAUUCUGAGACCAAAGCACACUGGUACCUAAGAACUGAGGAGGAAAAUUGAGAAAAUGAUAACUAAUACCAGGUUAUCAUUUCUGGAAUGAUCUUUAUCCUAAAGGUCCAGGAAUCAUAUGCUGUUUCUUGCUAUUCGUUCUCAGAGGAAGUCAUAUUAGAGUUGCUUUCUGUCAGAUGAUCGUGUUUCCAGCUCAACCUAAAAUUCUGAAGGGAGUGAGACCUAAGGUCAAGAUCACCACAGUUUUGGGGAGUUCCUGUCGUGGUGCAGCAGAAAUGAAUCUGACUAGGAACCAUGAGGUUUCGGGUUCUAUCUCUGGCCUCAAUCAGUGGGUUGAGGAUCCAGCGUGUUGCCCUGAGCUGUGGUGUUGGUCGCAGACAUGGCUUGGAUCUGGUGUGGCUGUGGCUGUAGGCCGGCAGCUGUAGCUCUGAUUGGACCCCUCGCUUGGGAACCUCCAUAUGCCACGGUGUAACCCUAAAAAGACAAAAAUAAAAUUUAAAAAAUGAAUUAAAUUAAAAAAAUAAAAAUAGUGUGAUAGUGUGACCCGUCUAAGGUAGGAAUGUAAGGUUGAUAAAAGAAGAUUUUUGAGGAUUGUUUCUUCUCCUGCCAUUUGUACAUCUAAGCUCAUUGAAGAGGUUUUCACUGUAUAUGUAGUUGAGGGAUGGGCAGAUGCCUUUGAGCGGAGAAAGAUGUAGAGAGUUGGGAAUAGACAAAGAGAUUUUUCUAAGUGAAAGGAAAGGAUAGCGGUUUCUGAGAUCUAUGACGCUUUGAGUUUCAAGAGCCACUUUCUCCUAACACAAUGUAGUGGUUGAUUUCCAAGACAAUACCUAAACUGAACUCUAGGCAUUGGAACUCCAGCCCUGGAAACGUCUAUUCUGCCUGUUAUGGGAGCUUCUAGAUUCUGAUGACUAUGUGGGCAUAGAUAGUGGUCUUCCUAGGGUAACUAGGGCAGAUCCAAAUGUUUGCCUGUGUCUAAGAUCUCUGAAAGAUUUGAUAAUCAGGAGGGAGGGAGCUCCAGUAAUUGCCAGGGUUGAAUUAUACACCAAUAUGGAUAAGAGCUUAGAGUUGAAUUUAAUUGCUCUAAAGAAAACAAGGAUUUGAAGUGAGACUUGAACCUGCAAGACCAGUUAAACUUCAGAAUGCAACCCAGCAACACUCGGAAAUGUAAUUAGCAUCUUUGACCUCAUGAAACUCACAUUUGAUGAUUUAACAGCAUCUAACUUAACAUCUUCUAAUGGUGCAAUGGGUUUAAGUCAAAUGCCAAAAUGAGUACAGAGUAUAAGAAUUUUAAAUUUCAAAGCAAAACACACAUUUGAGCAUGACAUGGGAGGAGGCUACAGAGAAAAUAAGAGACUUCUCUUGGGCCAUAAACAGUGAGUAGCUCUGGAUAAUAGAGAAGAAAGGGGAACGUUUCCAAGCAGUGAAACAGCAUGAGCAAGACUGUGGGGCGGCGGUGGGGCGGGGGAGUAGUUUUCAGAUCAUUCUGGCUAGUAGAUCAGAAUGAAAGGAUAGGGAAGUAGGUUCACUACAGAAACUGUUAGGACUUAAUGUCAGACUUCAGGUACACCGCACUCCCCAUGUAAGACUCCAUGUUACACCACACUCCCCAAAUCUACCUUAAACGGGAGACCUAUACAGGUCAGCAUGCAAACAAAUUAAAUGAAUGAGCUAACAGUCAAAAUUCAUAUUUAUACUUUGCUUUACAGACCAAAUCUAUAUAAGUAUAGAUAUAAUUUAUAAAGGAAAUCUGAUGUGCUAGGUUUUAUACUAGGUGACUUACAUAUAUUAUGUCUAAUCCUCAUUAUAAACAGGCAUAGGAGGUAUUAGUGUCUCCAUUUUACAUGAGAAAACAGGGACUAAACAAGAUUGAAUGGCUUGCUUUAAAUCAAAUAGACUAAAAGUGUUAAGCUAGGAGCUGUGAAUCAUGGUCAGAGUCAUCCCUGGCAAAAGCCUGUACAUUUUAUUUUAACUGUACCACAUUUUCUCUAACAUUAAGACAUUUUUAGAACAUACUGGAAUUCAAUAGAUGGAUUAUUGUAUUCUGGGAUAACAAAAUAACUAAAAUAAUUGAAAGUAAAUAAAUAAGACAAUUAUUUAUCUUCUUCCAUGUUUCAGAAAUUUUAAGAAUAGGGUGAAAUUAGGCUCUCUCUUCAUUUACAGCAGUGCCCUACAAUCAGUUGGAAGAUGUUAAUUUUUUUUAAAAAAUGUAUUAUAAUUGAUUUACAAUGUGUCUUCAAUUUCUGUUGUACAGGAAAGUGACCUAAUCACACAUAGUUCCUUGUGCUGUGCAGUAGGGCCCCAUUGCCCAUCCAUUCCAAAUGUAACGGUUUGCAUCCAAAAAUUCCAAACUGCCCAUUCAUUCCACUCCCUCCACCCUCCGUCUUGGGAACCACAAGUCUGCUUUCCUUGGCUAUGAUCUGGUUCUGUUUUGUAGAUAGGAUCAUUUGUGCUAUAUCUUAGAUUCCACAAAUAAGUGAUAUCAUAUGGUAUUUGUCUUUUUCUUUCUGACUUAUUUUGCUUAGUAUGAGAAUCUCUAGUGUCAUCCUUGUUGUUGCAAAUGGCUUUAGUUUUCCUUUUUUAUAGCUGAGUAGUAUUCUGUUGUAUAUAUGUACUACUUUUUCUUAAUCUAUUCAUCAAUCAAUGGAUAUUUAGGUUGUUUGAAUGUCUUGGCUAGUAUGAAUAGCUCUGUGAUGAACAUAGGGGUGCAUGUAUCUUUUUUUUAAUGAUUUAAAAUUUUUUUUUCUAUUAUAGUUGGUUUACAGUGCUCUAUCAGUUUCUACUAUAUAGCAAAGUGACCCAGUCUCAAAUGUAUAUACAUUAUUUUUCUCACAUUAUUCUCCACCAAGUUUCAUCAUAAGUGACUAGAUAUAGUUCCCUGUGCUAUACAGCAGUAUCCAUUUCAAAUGCAAUAGCUUGCAUCUAUUAACCACAGACUCCCAGUCCACCCCACUCCCUCCCACACCACCUUGGCAAACACAAGUCUCUUCUCCAAGACCAUGAGUUUCUUUUCUAUGAAAAAUCCAUUUGUGCCAUAUAUGAAAUUCCAGAUAUGUGAUAUCAUAUGGUAUUUGUCUUUCCCUUUCUGACGUACCUCACUUAGUAUGAGAGUCUGUAGUUCCAUCCAUGUUGCUGCAAAUGGCAUUAUUUUGUUCUUUUUUAUGGCUGAGUAGAAUUCCAUUGUGUAUAUAUACCACAUCUUCCUAAUCUAAUCAUCUGCCAAUGGACAUUUAGGUUGUUUCCAUGUCUUAGCUAUUGUGACUAGUGCAUCAGUGAACAUAUGGGUGCAUGUGUCUAUUUCAAGGAAAGUUGUGUCCAGAUAUAUGCCCAGGAGUGGGAUUGCUGAGUUCUAUAUUUAGUUUUCUGAGUCAACGCCAUACUGUUUUCCAUAGUGGUUGUACCAAUUUACAUUCCAGUGUAGGAAGGUUCCCUUUUCUCCACACCCUCUCAUGCAUUUGCUAUUUGUUGACUUGUUAAUGAUGGCCAUUCUGACCGGUAUGAGGUGGUACCUCAUAGUAGUUUUGAUUUGCAUUUCUCAGAUAAUUAGUGAUGUUGAGCAUUUAUUCAUGUACUUGUUGGCCAUCUGUAUAUCUUCUUUGGAGAAAUGUCUAUUCAUGUCUUGCCCAUUGUUUAGUUGGGUUGUUGGGUUUUUUUUUGCUGUUAAGUUGUUUAAGUUGUUCGCAUAUUUUAGAGAUUAAGCCUUUGUCUUUUGAAACUAUUUUCUCCCAUUCUGUAAGUUGUCUUUUUAUUUUUUUUUAUGGUUUCCUUUGCUAUGCAAACGCUUGUCAGUUUGAUUAGUCCCAUUAGUUUAUUUUUGCUUUUAUUUCUGUUGUCUUGGUAGUCUGACCUAAGAAAACAUUUGUACAGUUGAUGUCAGAAAAUGUUUUGCCUAUGUUCUCUUCUAAGAGUUUAAUGGUGUCUUGUCUUACGUUUAAGUCUUUAAGCCAUUUUGAGUUAAUUGUUUUUGAGGGUUUUUUUCUCCAUUUUUAUUUUAUAUUUAUUUUUAUUUUUAUCAUAUAUUUAUAUAUAUUUUUUUUCUACCAUGCAGCAUGGUGAGCCGGUUACACUUAACAUGUAUACAUUCUUUUUUCUCACAUUUCAUGUUCCUUCAUAAGUGACUAGAGAGUUCCUAGUGCUACACAGCAGGAUCCCAUUGCUCAUCCAUCCCGAAGGCCACAUUCUGCAUCUAUUUACCCCAAGCUCCCAGUCCCUCCCACUCCCUCCUCUUCCCCCUUGGCAACCACAAGUCUAUUCUGCAAGUCCAUGCUUUUCUUUUCUGUGAAAAAGCUUGUAUAUAUAUAUAUAUAUAUAGGCCUAAUAUAGGAACACCCAGAUACCUAAAACAAAUACUAACAGACAUAAAAGGAGAAAUUGAUGGGAAUACAAUCAUAGAAGGAGACUUUAACACCCCACUCACAUUGAUGGACAGAUCCUCUAGACAGAAAAUCAACAAAGCAGCAGAAAUUCUAAAGGAAACAACAGAAAAGUUAGACUUAACAUUUUCAGGACAUUACAUCCAAAAAAAUAAAAAUAUUCCUUCUUUUCAAGUGCACAUGGAACAUUCUCAAGAAUUGAUCACAUAUUGGGGCACAAAGUUAACCUCAAAAAAUUUAAGAGUACAGAAAUCAUUUCAAGUAUCUUCUCAGACCACAAAGGCAUGAAACUAGAAAUCAAACACAGGAAAAGAAGUAAGGAAAAACUGAGCACAUGGAGACUAAACAACAUGCUACUAAAAAACCAAUGGGUCAAUGAGGAAAUCAAGAAGGAAAUUAAAAAAUACCUUGAGACAAAUGAUAAUGAAGACACAACCACUCAAAAUCUAUGGGAUGCUGCAAAAGCAGUGCUCAGAGGGAAGUUCAUAGCAAUACGGCCUUCCUCAAAAAAGAAGAAAAAUCUCAAAUCGACAACUUAACCCACUACGUAUAUGAAUUAGAAAAAGAAGAACAAGCAAAACCUAAAGUCAACAGACAGAUGGAAAUCAUAAAGAUCAAAGAGGAAAUCAAUAAAAUAGAGAUUCAAAAAACAGUUGACAAAAAUCAGUCAAACCAAGAGCCGGUUCUUUGAAAAGGUAAACAAAAUAGACAAACCUCUGGCUGGACUCACCAAGAAGAGAAGAGAAAAAA
RNAcentral lists this long non-coding RNA (6014 nucleotides) under Sus scrofa (pig). Its description in RNAcentral is "lncRNA (ENSSSCG00035005252.1)". Lineage: Eukaryota; Metazoa; Chordata; Mammalia; Artiodactyla; Suidae. The record is from RNAcentral.